This 253-nucleotide ribosomal RNA is filed under the name uncultured bacterium. Its description in RNAcentral is "partial 16S ribosomal RNA". It matches the Rfam family "Bacterial small subunit ribosomal RNA", at positions 524 to 776 of the family's 1533-position model. The record is from RNAcentral.
UACAGAGGUGGCAAGCGUUGUUCGGAAUUACUGGGCGUAAAGGGCGCGUAGGCGGUCUUGUAAGUCUCGUGUGAAAUCCCUCGGCUUAACUGAGGAACUGCACGGGAUACUGCUUGACUUGAGUUCGGGAGAGGGAAGCGGAAUUCCGGGUGUAGCGGUGAAAUGCGUAGAUAUCCGGAGGAACACCAAUGGCGAAGGCAGCUCGCUGGGACGGUACUGACGCUGAGGCGCGAAAGCGUGGGGAGCAAACAGG